CUCAGUUCCAGUGUGGCCGAUCACCCUCUCAGGUCGGCUACGUAUCGUUGCCUUGGUAAGCCGUUACCUUACCAACUAGCUAAUACGGCGCAGGUCCAUCUAUAAGUGAUAGCAAAGCCAUCUUUCACUAUCGAACCAUGCGGUUCGAAAUAUUAUCCGGUAUUAGCUCCGGUUUCCCGAAGUUAUCCCAGUCUUAUAGGUAGGUUACCUACGUGUUACUCACCCGUCCGCCGCUAACGUCAAAGGAGCAAGCUCCUCGUCUGUUCGCUCGACUUGCAUGUAUUAGGCACGCCGCCAGCGUUCAUCCUGAGCCAGGAUCAAACUCU
RNAcentral lists this ribosomal RNA (326 nucleotides) under Staphylococcus hominis. RNAcentral describes it as "partial 16S ribosomal RNA". Lineage: Bacteria; Bacillati; Bacillota; Bacilli; Caryophanales; Staphylococcaceae. The record is from RNAcentral.